AUGUUUUUAUAUUUUCAUCAACAUGCCAGAGGUGAAGGAGUUGAGGUAGUUGCAGGGGAAGUUGUGGAGCGACCAUCACAAGCGGGCAGGAUAAGGGCAUCACCAGCGCGGUUUGCAAAUUUCAAUGCCUCUCUAACCCCACCACAGAAGUCAGAGCUAGUUUCAAGGUUGUUCGGGGGGCUAUUGAACUUAUCAGACACACUUCCAGCGGACCUCACUAAGUUCAUGGUGCAGUCCUACCAGCCACAGACCUCUGAAAUGGUUUUCCCAGGAAGGGGAAGGAUCCGUGUCGAUGCUGACAGUGUUCAAAGGGUAUUUGAUCUCCCAAACAGGGGUCAAAAAGUCAGUUAUAAAGUUGACAAGGAUACAACUAGGAGAUUCAGAGAGACCUUCAACAUAACUGGAACUUCUCAUCCCCAGAUCAGCACAUGGACCAAGAUGAUUGAGGAUAUGGCUGGAAGAACGGAUGCCACAUUCUUUAUGGCCUGGCUUGUGGUUGCCUUUAGCACUUUCCUAGCACCAACCACGGCCUUGAAGCUCAGCCCAAAGUGUUACGAACUUGUGCUAGAUCAUGAAAUGAUCAAGAACACAAACAUCUGCCUCUUUGUAGCAGAACACAUUAAUGAAGCUUUCCGGAACAUGGACCAGGAGAAGCAAAUUGUCUGCUGCUGCUUGUAUCACUUGAUGGUUAGUGAAAACGACCACUUUCCAUCUGUUCUUGUUCUUUUUUGUGCAGUUAUAGUUUGCUGA
This 750-nucleotide ribosomal RNA is filed under the name Triticum aestivum (bread wheat). Its description in RNAcentral is "partial small subunit ribosomal RNA". Lineage: Eukaryota; Viridiplantae; Streptophyta; Magnoliopsida; Poales; Poaceae. The record is from RNAcentral.